RNAcentral lists this ribosomal RNA (406 nucleotides) under uncultured bacterium. RNAcentral's name for it is "partial 16S ribosomal RNA". It matches the Rfam family "Bacterial small subunit ribosomal RNA", at positions 29 to 526 of the family's 1533-position model. The record is from RNAcentral.
AUUGAACGCUGGCGGCAGGCCUAACACAUGCAAGUCGAAAGAGUGGCGGACGGGUGAGUAAUGUCUGGGAAACUGCCCGAUGGAGGGGGAUAACUACUGGAGACGGUAGCUAAUACCGCAUACCAUCGGAUGUGCCCAGAUGGGAUUAGCUAGUAGGUGGGGUAACGGCUCACCUAGGCGACGAGCCCUAGCUGGUUCGAGAGGAUGACCAGCCACACUGGAACUGAGACACGGUCCAGAGUCCUACGGUAGGCAGCAGUGGGGAAUAUGGAAAAAUGGGCGCAAGCCGGAUGCAGCAAUGCCGCGUGUAUGAAGAAGGCCUUCGGGUUGUAAAGUACUUUCAGCGAGGAGGCGUUACUCGCAGAAGAAGCACCGGAUAACCCCGUGCCAGCAGCCGCGGUAAUAC